UAAAGUGAUUUAAAGAGUAUUUUGUGGAUGUCUUGGUAUUAAUAGGAUAAAGGACGUUAAUAUAUAUUAACGAAACGAUCUGACGAUUUCAACAUGAAAUAAGAAUCAGAUAUUUCCGAAUGGGAAACCAUAUAAUUACAUUUAUAAAAAUGUAAUAAAUACUCAGUGAACUGAAACAUCUAACUAACUGAAGGAAAAAAAAUCAACCGAGAUUCCAUUAGUAGUGGCGAGCGAAUGUGGAUUAUAAGACAAAAAAAAUAUAAUAAAAUAGAAAAGAUUUAAAAAUCUUACCAAAGAGGGUGAAAGUCCCGUAUAAUAAUAAAAAAAUUAUAUUUUAAAAAAAGUAAAACAAAACACAUAUAAUUUUGUUUGAAUAUAGGUGGACCACCAUCUAAGUCUAAAUACUAAUUAAUAACCAAUAGUGAACAAGUACCGUGAGGGAAAGAUGAAAAGAACCAAUUAGGAGUGAAAUAGAUCCUGAAGCAGAAUACUUAUAAGCAGUCAGAGCAAUUAUAAUUGUGAUGGCGUACCUUUUGCAUAAUGGGUCAGUAAGUUUAUUUAUUUAGCAAGCUUAAGUUGUUAAACGUAGGCAUAGUGAACGCGAAUAUUAAAUGUAUGAUUAGUUAAAUAAAUAAGACCCGAAAUCAAGUGAUCUAACCAUGGGCAGGUUGAAGAUAUUUUAAAAAAUAUUGGAGGACCGAACACGUAUCUGUUGCAAAAGAUUGUGAUGAUCUGUGGUUAGGGGUGAAAGGCUAAUCAAACUUGAAGAUAGCUGGUUUUCCAUGAAAUUUAUUUAGGUAAAGCAUUGUAUUUAAGAUAUUUAGGGUAGAGCACUCGAUAAACUAGGGGAAUUUUUAAUUUUACCAAAUUUAACGAAACUCAUAAUAUAAAUAUUAUAUAUACAAUAGACAGAUAGUGAGCGCGAAGGUUCAUAAUCAAAAGGGAAACAGCCCAGAUCAUUAGUUAAGGUCCAAAAAUAAAUAUUCAGUGCGUAAAGGAUAUCAUAAAGUAAAGACAACCAAAAGAUGGGCUUGGAAGCAGCCAUUCCUUAAAGAAAGCGUAACAGCUCAUUGGUCGAAACAGUAUGGUACCGAAAAUGUAUAUGGACUAAAGUAUUUUACCGAAACUAUGAAUUUUUAAAUGGUAAUGGAACGUUCUGUAAUUAGAUAAAGUAAUAUUGUAAAAUAUUAUGAAUAUAUCAGAAUUGAUAAUGCUGACAUGAGUAACAUUAAACAAUUAAACAUUGUCACCGGAAGUCCAAGGUUUUCUUAGCAUUAAUAAAUAGCUAAGAGUUAGUCGGCCCUUAAGACAAAUGCGAAAGCAGUAGUUGAUAGGCAUAUUUUAAAAAGUAAAAACUAUUGUAAAAGUUACAAGUUUUUAUGAUUUUUUUAAUAUUAUUGAAUUUAUUAAUAAAGAUAUAAAAACUUCAAGAAAAAACAUUCAAUAUAAACCGUACCUAAACCAACACAGGUGGACUAGUAGAGUAUACUAAGGUGAUUGAGAUAAUAAUAUUGAAGGAACUCGGCAAAUUGCCUCCGUAACUUCGGGAGAAGGAGUACCAAUUAGUUGGUGUCACAAAACAAAGGGUAGCAACUGUUUAACAAAAACACAGGACUCUGCAAAAUCGUAAGAUGAUGUAUAGGGUCUGACGCCUGUCAGGUGCUUGGAAAUAAGAGGAGAAGUAUCUGCUUCGAAUUAAAAAACAAGUAAACGACGGCCGUAACCAUAACGGUCCUAAGGUAGCGAAAUUCCUUGUCGGGUAAGUUCC
This 1768-nucleotide ribosomal RNA is filed under the name compost metagenome. Its description in RNAcentral is "bacterial LSU rRNA". It matches the Rfam family "Bacterial large subunit ribosomal RNA", at positions 1 to 1984 of the family's 2925-position model. The record is from RNAcentral.